Molecule: transfer RNA, 74 nt
Filed under: Nocardioides sp.
Lineage: Bacteria; Bacillati; Actinomycetota; Actinomycetes; Propionibacteriales; Nocardioidaceae
Description: tRNA-Leu
Rfam family: tRNA
About the family: Transfer RNA (tRNA) molecules are approximately 80 nucleotides in length.
Source: RNAcentral
GCGCUCGUAGCCCAACCGGUAGAGGCACCGCGUUUAGGUCGCGGCCAGUGAGAGUUCGAAUCUCUCCGAGCGCA